This is a long non-coding RNA of Macaca fascicularis (crab-eating macaque), 1741 nucleotides long. The record is from Ensembl. Lineage: Eukaryota; Metazoa; Chordata; Mammalia; Primates; Cercopithecidae.
ACUUUUUUCUUUUUCCUUUUUUUUUUUUUUUUUUGAGACUGAGUCUUGCUCUGUCUCCAGGAUGGAGUGCAGUGGCUGGAUCUUGGGUCACUGCCAUCUCAGCCUCCCAUGUUCAAGCAAUUCUCCUGCCUCAGCCUCCCAAGUAGCUAGUGUGGGAUAUGAUGAGGUUUCUCUUCAAAUAACCUGAUCAAUCUUUCAUUCUUUAAUUCACAGUACCCCCCUCCUUUUUUUCCCCUUUUUCUCAAUUUUUCCUUUUUGCUUUUGUUACAUGCCCAGGCACACUACAGUACCAGGCAUUAUCAGUACCAGCUCACUUUCAUGUCCUUAUUUGGAAAGAGGACUAACUUUCUAGCUCAUUACAGACACCACUUCCCCUUUCCUUUCUGCUUUCUUUUAUGUGCCCACCUUAUCUAAAAAAAUCAAAUAUUUCAUUAACUUGGGUUAGUUUAGAUUGUAUGAAUGAACCCCAGCCAAUGGGGAAAGGGUACAGGGGCAGGACUUGCAUCAGGAAUAAAGGCUCUCCUGCCCCUUUGUUCAGGUGUGCUCUCAAGGUGACUGGUCAAGGAGGCACCCCUUUGCACAGAAGUAAAAUUGUUUUGCUAAGAAUCCUUCUUUCGAGUCUUCCAUUUCCUUAGAAUUUUGACUGUUGUUCCUAACAGUUCUGGCACCCAACUUUGGGGCUCUAAUAUUCUCCCUUGGUAAGGAGGCCUUCGGUUACCCUAUCAAGGGGGCACGCAUCCUACUCUCUAGUUACGGUGGCCCUAGGGUGAAGGAGAUCAGGACCACCUGUUGUAGUGAAUAAAUCUGGAUACUCAGCAAAGCGGGGAGGCGAGGCUUGCAAGACGCAGCAAUAAGAGGACCAGGCGAUUCUUGCCCAUGGAGUAAGGUAGGAGACUUCAAGAAGGCGACAAAGUAUUUCCUGGGUGGUCAGGAUAAGAUGGAGGCAGAGAAUGUGUGAAUGGGAAUAAGUAUCCUGGUUGUGUGGAGUAAAUGAGUCUUCUCUGACGUCUCGUGCUGCCAUCUGUGGACUAGAGGCGGGAAAACACAAAGCAAAGAGGAAGAGGUAGGGUAGAAACCUUUGACAGUUGGGAUUGGAGCCUUUCCCCAAAGCCUCAGUAAGCCUCCAGGAAGGGUGAAGGUAGAAAUCUCUAACAGGAGGGAUUGCCCCACCAAUAACCCCUAAGAUGGGGAAAGUUUCAAGUAAGACAGGAAAACAGAAGAGUCUAGAGAGUGACGAAAUUCCUUCUGUUAGCCUCUUGGGGCUUAUGCUAAAGUAUUGGAAAGACAAUGAGAGAACCAAGUAUAAAGAAAAACAGCAGGUGAUAAAAUAUGUUGUUUUACUGGGUUUGAGAACCCAUCCUUAAACCCUCAAUUUUCUGGCCAAAAUUUAGAUCUAAUGAGAAACAGAUUUGUCACCUCUUACUCAAACAUGUUAACGAUAAGAGCCCUGUCUCCCACGAAGAAAUCGAUUACACCCUCUGCUGGCAGCAGGGACCAGUUCUGCUUUACCCUUUAGACUCUGCAGGGAGAAAGUCAGAAGCCAACCCUUCUAAAAGGGAAACAGUUCCCCUACCUAGACAAUCCACACCUACUAACACGUGGGAUCCUUUAAAUUAUCUUCCUUCAUUCAGCGCCCCCGAUCCCGCCCCCCUCUGGUUCCCGUUUCAGGUCCUUCAUCUGUUUGCCUCACUCUCCUAGCUGCCCUGCAUUCUGCCCUUCUGGUUCCUAUCUCAGGUUCCUC